RNAcentral lists this ribosomal RNA (253 nucleotides) under uncultured bacterium. RNAcentral describes it as "partial 16S ribosomal RNA". It matches the Rfam family "Archaeal small subunit ribosomal RNA", at positions 474 to 727 of the family's 1478-position model. The record is from RNAcentral.
UACCAGCACCCCGAGUGGUCGGGACGUUUAUUGGGCCUAAAGCAUCCGUAGCCGGUUCUACAAGUCUUCCGUUAAAUCCAACUGCUUAACAGGUGGGCUGCGGAAGAUACUAUAGAGCUAGGAGGCGGGAGAGGCAAGCGGUACUCGAUGGGUAGGGGUAAAAUCCGUUGAUCCAUUGAAGACCACCAGUGGCGAAGGCGGCUUGCCAGAACGCGCUCAACGGUGAGGGAUGAAAGCUGGGGGAGCAAACCGG